GAUGAAGAACGCAGCGAAAUGCGAUAAGUAAUGUGAAUUGCAGAAUUCAGUGAAUCAUCGAAUCUUUGAACGCACAUUGCGCCCGCCAGUAUUCUGGCGGGCAUGCCUGUUCGAGCGUCAUUUCAACCAUCAAGCCCCAGGCUUGUGUUGGGGACCUGCGGCUGCCGCAGGCCCUGAAAACCAGUGGCGGGCUCGCUGUCACACCGGGCGUAGUAGAUUUUAUCUCGCUCAGGGCGUGCUGCGGGUUCCGGCCGUUAAAAAGCCUUUUUUACCCAAGGUUGACCUCGGAUCGGGUAGGAAGACCCGCUGAACUUAAGCAUAUCAAUAAGCGGAGGA
RNAcentral lists this unclassified non-coding RNA (336 nucleotides) under soil metagenome. RNAcentral describes it as "partial contains 5.8S ribosomal RNA, internal transcribed spacer 2, and large subunit ribosomal RNA". The stretch from base 1 to 120 matches the Rfam family "5.8S ribosomal RNA", at positions 35 to 154 of the family's 154-position model. The record is from RNAcentral.